GCAGGGGUGAUGCAUGUAGAUGUUUUACAUGUAGUGUAGUAAUAGAUACAGUUGUUAUAGCAAGAUGCAUGUCUAAGAAGAUGCGCGUACGGGCAUUUGCAGCAGCUAGCUAGCAGCCAUGAUCAUGUGUGUAUACAGUUAAUUAGUGGAUCUGCACGUCCUCUUCGAGAAAGCCAAGAGGCCACCAGCCGCCGGUGUAUCGUCGGAAGCCGCAGGCAUCGAGGGCGGAGGCGAACUUUUUGAGGCCCGACGUUUCCGGAGGGUUGAAUUUGCUGAUUCUGUUGUACAUCUCUUUGUAGCACAUGAAGUCCACCUUGAUGUCCGUUAUCACGUUGGAAAAGGCCCAGCUCCAUGAUGGCCAAGCCACGGCCUGCUCCGGCUGGCUCAUCAGCACUAGCCACGCCACCGCCGCCACCGCCAACCACCCGCUCCUCUUCGUUGUCGUCAUCCUCUUCGUAAGUAGUUGAUCCCCUCCUCGAUCCCUCCCUGUUUUUUUUUUUCUUUUUCGAUUACUCUAUAAUUUAUUGCUCUCCUCUCUCUGCCUUUUUAGGAUUGCGGCGCAUGCCAUUUUAUAGACACAGUUUGGUAGUAGCAAGCAAGUUUUAUACUUAAGUUACAUCUAAUGCCAAUAUUUUCAUAAUCCUGCUGAAGAUAAAUUUUUGUAUUUGAGUAUGACAUAAUUGUUAUGCUUGCGUUUGCUAUUAAUUAAUUAAGCGAUACGUAUUGUUUUGCAACAAACAAAAUUAAUUAAAUGUCGGUUAGCUUCAAAUACAUGCUUUUAACCUAAUAAAAAAAUUUAGCUCUUUUGCAAACGCUUGGAAACUUUAACAUUAGCAAAUUAAUUAGAUUUCUUAAAUUUUAUUAAAUAGUUGAAUACAUAGGCCUCUCUCCCCACUUGAAUUGCAUUCAUUGUCCCUUUAAGUCGAUAUUUUGAAUAUAAUCUUAUAGAAAUAAAAAAUUGAAGUUAGAUUCAUCCCGUCAAAGAAAAAAAAUAAAAUUUUUUUUAAUACUUUUAAAAGCUUACAAGAUUAUUUAUUUUUAAUAAUUUUAAAAGCUUACAAGAUUACGUUCAUAAUACACGACCAAAACAGAGAAACAAUUAAUAACUAUAGUUGAAGGAGUCUAAUUCCCAAAGUAGUAAGUUUAAAUGCUUGUUUGCAAAAAAGGCUAAGAGUUCUGACGGCGAAUUUCAGAGCUCUUUUAUAAAAUGCUUUCGGAGCUCUUUUAUAAAAUGCAAGUUCUCAUAGCAAUUCACAGUUCAGCGAGUGAAACAUUGAUUAAUAGAGAAUGCACUUCUUUAAGCAUCAUAUUUGGGUAACAUUUAUCCAUUACAAAAGCCAUAAAAUGGCUGCGCUGCAUCAGACCACGUUCAUCAUGCACACGACAUCAGCAUGUUACUCCAAAAGAACGAACUUCAUAGAUAAAUUUUACAGCAGAAAACCAAAGAUAUAUUCGACGUUACAAGUGGAAUACGCCGGUCCUAUCAAGAAAAUACUGUAAAUACCAUAACAGGUCUCAUAUCUCAUCGUACAUUACAAAACCGAGUAAAUGAGCGCAGGCCUCAAGGACAGGGUAAGCGACAAUAAGAACAAGUAGACGACACACAUAUUUCCACACCCCUCAAUCGGUUGCAGCUUCCUUGACAUCAACAGUAAAAUUAUACUCCUGGUCACAGCCCAGAUAGGAAUCACACAUGAAGUAAAUCGUGUAGGUCUUCUUUCCAGCUUCUGCAGGAGCCGUAAAGACAAGCUUGACUUUUGCCUUCCUCUGAAGCGAGACCCUUUUGAUAGCGAGCAACUGAUUGGUGGAGCUGUCUCCGACUACAAGCCACCAUCCUUCCUCUUUGGGCUUGGGGUACCUCGGUGCAUCGACUGGACCCACCUCAGCCCGGC
This 1892-nucleotide long non-coding RNA is filed under the name Ananas comosus (pineapple). RNAcentral's name for it is "long non-coding RNA (ACOM_LNC022656)". The record is from RNAcentral. Lineage: Eukaryota; Viridiplantae; Streptophyta; Magnoliopsida; Poales; Bromeliaceae.